UACGGAGGAUGCAAGCGUUAUCCGGAAUGAUUGGGCGUAAAGCGUCCGCAGGUGGCUGUGUAAGUCUGCUGUCAAAGAGCAAAGCUCAACUUUGUAAAGGCAGUGGAAACUACACGGCUAGAGUGCGUUCGGGGCAGAGGGAAUUCCUGGUGUAGCGGUGAAAUGCAUUGAGAUCGGAAAGAACACCAACGGCGAAAGCACUCUGUUGGGCCGACACUGACACUAAGAGACGAAAGCUAGGGGAGCAAAUGGG
This 253-nucleotide ribosomal RNA is filed under the name uncultured bacterium. RNAcentral's name for it is "partial 16S ribosomal RNA". It matches the Rfam family "Bacterial small subunit ribosomal RNA", at positions 524 to 776 of the family's 1533-position model. The record is from RNAcentral.